UGCAGUCGAACGAUGAUGCCCAGCUUGCUGGGCGGAUUAGUGGCGAACGGGUGAGUAAUACGUGAGUAACCUGCCCUUGACUCUGGGAUAAGCCUGGGAAACUGGGUCUAAUACUGGAUACUACCUCUUGCCGCAUGGUGGGUGGUGGAAAGGGUUUUACUGGUUUUGGAUGGGCUCACGGCCUAUCAGCUUGUUGGUGGGGUAAUGGCUCACCAAGGCGACGACGGGUAGCCGGCCUGAGAGGGUGACCGGCCACACUGGGACUGAGACACGGCCCAGACUCCUACGGGAGGCAGCAGUGGGGAAUAUUGCACAAUGGGCGGAAGCCUGAUGCAGCGACGCCGCGUGAGGGAUGACGGCCUUCGGGUUGUAAACCUCUUUCAGUAGGGAAGAAGCGAGAGUGACGGUACCUGCAGAAGAAGCGCCGGCUAACUACGUGCCAGCAGCCGCGGUAAUACGUAGGGCGCAAGCGUUGUCCGGAAUUAUUGGGCGUAAAGAGCUCGUAGGCGGUUUGUCGCGUCUGCUGUGAAAGCCCGGGGCUCAACCCCGGGUCUGCAGUGGGUACGGGCAGACUAGAGUGCAGUAGGGGAGACUGGAAUUCCUGGUGUAGCGGUGAAAUGCGCAGAUAUCAGGAGGAACACCGAUGGCGAAGGCAGGUCUCUGGGCUGUUACUGACGCUGAGGAGCGAAAGCAUGGGGAGCGAACAGGAUUAGAUACCCUGGUAGUCCAUGCCGUAAACGUUGGGCACUAGGUGUGGGGGACAUUCCACGUUUUCCGCGCCGUAGCUAACGCAUUAAGUGCCCCGCCUGGGGAGUACGGCCGCAAGGCUAAAACUCAAAGGAAUUGACGGGGGCCCGCACAAGCGGCGGAGCAUGCGGAUUAAUUCGAUGCAACGCGAAGAACCUUACCAAGGCUUGACAUUCACCGGACCGCCCCAGAGAUGGGGUUUCCCUUCGGGGCUGGUGGACAGGUGGUGCAUGGUUGUCGUCAGCUCGUGUCGUGAGAUGUUGGGUUAAGUCCCGCAACGAGCGCAACCCUCGUUCUAUGUUGCCAGCACGUGAUGGUGGGGACUCAUAGGAGACUGCCGGGGUCAACUCGGAGGAAGGUGGGGAUGACGUCAAAUCAUCAUGCCCCUUAUGUCUUGGGCUUCACGCAUGCUACAAUGGCCGGUACAAAGGGUUGCGAUACUGUGAGGUGGAGCUAAUCCCAAAAAGCCGGUCUCAGUUCGGAUUGAGGUCUGCAACUCGACCUCAUGAAGUCGGAGUCGCUAGUAAUCGCAGAUCAGCAACGCUGCGGUGAAUACGUUCCCGGGCCUUGUACACACCGCCCGUCAAGUCACGAAAGUUGGUAACACCCGAAGCCGGUGGCCUAACCCCUUGUGGGAGGAGCCGUCGAA
This 1396-nucleotide ribosomal RNA is filed under the name Kocuria sp. AG21. RNAcentral describes it as "bacterial SSU rRNA". It matches the Rfam family "Bacterial small subunit ribosomal RNA". The record is from RNAcentral. Lineage: Bacteria; Bacillati; Actinomycetota; Actinomycetes; Micrococcales; Micrococcaceae.